UGGCGGAAUAUUGCACAAUGGGCGCAAGCCUGAUGCAGCGACGCCGCGUGGAGGAUGAAGGCUUUCGAGUUGUAAACUCCUGUUAAGUGGGAAGAAAGACUGUUGACUAAUAAUCAGCAGGGAUGACGGUACCACUAGAGAAAAGCACCGGCMAACUUCGUG
Molecule: ribosomal RNA, 162 nt
Filed under: uncultured bacterium
Lineage: Bacteria
Description: partial 16S ribosomal RNA
Rfam family: Bacterial small subunit ribosomal RNA
Source: RNAcentral